AGUGAACGCUGGCGGUAGGCCUAACACAUGCAAGUCGAACGGCAGCACAGUAAGAGCUUGCUCUUACGGGUGGCGAGUGGCGGACGGGUGAGGAAUACAUCGGAAUCUACUUUUUCGUGGGGGAUAACGUAGGGAAACUUACGCUAAUACCGCAUACGACCUACGGGUGAAAGCAGGGGAUCUUCGGACCUUGCGCGACUGAAUGAGCCGAUGUCGGAUUAGCUAGUUGGCGGGGUAAAGGCCCACCAAGGCGGCGAUCCGUAGCUGGUCUGAGAGGAUGAUCAGCCACACUGGAACUGAGACACGGUCCAGACUCCUACGGGAGGCAGCAGUGGGGAAUAUUGGACAAUGGGCGCAAGCCUGAUCCAGCCAUACCGCGUGGGUGAAGAAGGCCUUCGGGUUGUAAAGCCCUUUUGUUGGGAAAGAAAAGCAGCAGGUUAAUACCCCGCUGUUCUGACGGUACCCAAAGAAUAAGCACCGGCUAACUUCGUG
Molecule: ribosomal RNA, 492 nt
Filed under: uncultured bacterium
Lineage: Bacteria
Description: partial 16S ribosomal RNA
Rfam family: Bacterial small subunit ribosomal RNA
Source: RNAcentral